This 377-nucleotide ribosomal RNA is filed under the name uncultured bacterium. RNAcentral's name for it is "bacterial SSU rRNA". It matches the Rfam family "Bacterial small subunit ribosomal RNA", at positions 521 to 896 of the family's 1533-position model. The record is from RNAcentral.
UAAUACAGAGGUCCCAAGCGUUGUUCGGAUUCACUGGGCGUAAAGGGUGCGCAGGUGGCGCUUCAAGUUUGAUGUGAAAGCUUCGGGCUUAACCCGGAAAUGGCAUUGAAUACUGGAGUGCUGGAGGUUUGGAGGGGGGACUGGAAUUCUCGGUGUAGCAGUGAAAUGCGUAGAUAUCGAGAGGAACACCAGUGGCGAAGGCGAGUCCCUGGACAACACCUGACACUGAGGCACGAAAGCUAGGGGAGCAAACAGGAUUAGAUACCCUGGUAGUCCUAGCCCUAAACGGUGCGCGUUUGCUGUGGGAGGAAUCGACCCCUUCCGUGGCGAAGCUAACGCGAUAAACGCGCCGCCUGGGGAGUACGGUCGCAAGAUUA